GGUGUAGUUCAAUUGGUAGAACAGCGGGCUUCAACCCCGCAUGUUGUGGGUUCGAGUCCUGUCACC
This 66-nucleotide transfer RNA is filed under the name mouse gut metagenome. It matches the Rfam family "tRNA". From Rfam's summary of the family: Transfer RNA (tRNA) molecules are approximately 80 nucleotides in length. Their secondary structure includes four short double-helical elements and three loops (D, anti-codon, and T loops). Further hydrogen bonds mediate the characteristic L-shaped molecular structure. tRNAs have two regions of fundamental functional importance: the anti-codon, which is responsible for specific mRNA codon recognition, and the 3' end, to which the tRNAs corresponding amino acid is attached (by aminoacyl-tRNA synthetases). tRNAs cope with the degeneracy of the genetic code in two manners: having more than one tRNA (with a specific anti-codon) for a particular amino acid; and 'wobble' base-pairing, i.e. permitting non-standard base-pairing at the 3rd anti-codon position. RNAcentral also lists the same sequence under 1 other name. The record is from RNAcentral.